GCCCUGGACAAGCGGACCCCAGCGCAACUGGCCUAUGAGAAGAUCCAGGAAAAGCGGCAAAUAGAACGGAUCCUGAAGAAAGCAUCUAAAACCCACAAACAGAGGGUUGAGGAUUUUAAUCGGCAUCUGGACACUUUAACAGAACAUUAUGACAUCCCAAAAGUCAGCUGGACCAAAUGAGCAUCUUUUCACUCCUCCCA
Sceloporus undulatus (fence lizard) is the source of this 200-nucleotide long non-coding RNA. RefSeq lists it as uncharacterized. Lineage: Eukaryota; Metazoa; Chordata; Lepidosauria; Squamata; Phrynosomatidae. The transcript has 3 exons. The record is from RefSeq and is a predicted model, not a curated record.